This 242-nucleotide long non-coding RNA is filed under the name Ananas comosus (pineapple). RNAcentral's name for it is "long non-coding RNA (ACOM_LNC036007)". The record is from RNAcentral. Lineage: Eukaryota; Viridiplantae; Streptophyta; Magnoliopsida; Poales; Bromeliaceae.
AAAUUUGGAAAAAUCCUGUGAAAUUGUGCAAUGCGUAUCCAAACAGUUUAAAAAUUGAAUCCGUGGAAUUUUUUAGAGUUGCAGGAUUCUCUAUUUUAUCUAGACCGAAACCACAGUUUAUAAAUUCCGUGGAGAUAUUUUACUGUGUAUCCAAACAGGCCCUAAAUGUAGGGAGAGUUUGAAAGUAGAAUAAAACUUUAAUUUUUUAAGUUUAGGAUUAAAGAAUUUUGAGAAAUAAAUAG